CGAAUCGACGAUCGGCUCCAUUAGACUUAAUCUAGCGUAUUUGACUAUCUAGAAAAUAAUUUUUGUGAUUUUUCGGUAUCAUUUUCCUAGCGAUCGACAGGGUUCAAAAUCAAUAAUUUUAAUGGUUGAUGUAGACCAUUUGAAAGUUAGAAGUAUUCAAAUCAAAUGAAAUUUUGAUAGAAAAUUCUUUAUACUAUUUACAGCAAGAUCAAUAUGUUUGAUCGAAAAUUUUAAUGCUAUAUCACCACUUUUUGUGAGAUUUUUAUUUUCAACCAUUGAUUUUUGAACCCGUUCGAUUGUUAGGUAAAUGAUAUCGAAAAAUCACAAAAUUUAUUUUCUAGAUACUUCAAAUAUGUUAGAUCAAGUCUAACGGAGUUGAUUGUCGAUUCGGAAGCUCCAUCAUCGAAAAUGACUUAAGAGCACGGAAACCUCCGUACUCCUAAUAGCACACAAGACCUACUCUAUUUUAUAUAUAUAUAUAUAGAGAGAGAGAGAGAGAGAGAGAGAGAGAGAGAGCUAGGCUACUAUACUAUCUAUAGUACCUCCGGUACUAUAGUUUUGGUUUUCGAUCUUAGGGCGUUCAAAUCAAUGAUCCACACCGUUAAAACUGAUUUAGGGUAUUUAAAGUUUCUAGAAAUAAAAUUAUAUAUUUUUUCGACAUAGUUUACUUUAUGAUCAAACUAUUUCAAAAUUGUCAAUUCUCAAUGGCUAUUAUGACAAGUUUGGAGUUUAAUGGUGUAGAAGAAUCUAAAUUUCUUCAAAUUUUGAUAGAAAAUACUUUAAACUAUAUAGAUUAAGGUUAAUAUUCUUGAUCUUGAAUUUAAAAGUCAUAGACUCAAAUUUUGAAGAUUAUUCAAUUUUCACCGUCCAUUUUGAUAUAAUUUAUUUACUAAGUAAACGAUAUCGAAAAAAACUAAAGUUUUAUUCCUAAAACAUUCAUAUACCCUAUAUCAUAUUUAAUGGCGUGGAUCGUUGAUUUGAACGUCCUAAGAUUGAAAACAAACACUAUAGUACCGGAGCUCGGUACUAUAGAUAGUAUAGUAGCCUAAUUCUAUAUAUAUAUAUAUAUGCAAUAUCCCUUGGAUUUCGACUCUUUUCACUGAACACUUUAGUAUAUAGAAUUUCUUAGUAAGUUAUAAUAUUAUGGGAAAAUUUCUAAAACCUCUCUCUUGUGGUUUCACACUUUUUUAUUUUAGUAUUCUAUAAUUUAAAAUGUAUCAAGUUAGUACCCUGUGAUUUCUCACUUUAUCACGUUAGUAUCCUGUGGUUUAAAUUGUAUCACGUUAGUACUCUGUGGUUUUAUUUUUGUAUCAAGUUAGUACACUGUGGUUUUAUUUUGUAUCAAGUUAGUACUCUGUGGUUUUUAAACCACAGGGUACUAAAGUGAUAAAGUGCGAAACCACAGGAUACUAAAAUGAUAAAGUGCGAAACCACAGGGUACUAACUUGAUACACUUUAAAUCAUAGGGUACUAAAGUGAAAAAGUACAAAACCACGUGAUACUAAUUUGAUACACUUUAAACCACAUGAUACUAAAAUGAGAAAAAAUGAAACCACAAGGGGGUAUUUGAAGUUUUCCCUAAUAUUAUUCUUAGCUAGUACGUAGUACGAGAAAGGUGACAACAAGUGAACUUUUCCAAAGAAAUAAUCGCUUAAUUUAGACAAUAAAAUGAUCAUUAUUUUGCUUAAAUUGAACGUUAGGAAGCUAUUUGAUGGGAGGGAUAGAAUAGCCGAAGAAAAUUUUGAACUUUUCUAAUGGUUUGAUAUGAAAUUGUAAUAAACGAAAAUUUUAGUUAAAAGUUUAAAAAGCAAUAUAAUAUUAAUGAAGUAUAAAAACUAUCCAAGCAUUUUAUUUAUACACCACCAAGUGCCAACCAAUCAUUAUAUUGUCUUUUAAAAGAUGGAAAAGAAAAUAUUUAGUCCUCCUUUGAUAUUUGUAUCUAGUUUUAAAUUAAUUUCUUUUUAAAGAACUUAUAUAUAAAAGUGUAGGGAUGGACAAUAGAUUGCUUGAAUUUUUUUUUUUUUUUUUGGCUUCUAAAAUUUUUUUCAAAGAGUUUGUCAUUUACUACUUGAGCCAGUGUGCAUAAUAAAUUAACCGAUGAUGAAAAUAAAAUAUGUACAUAUAUAUUUUUACUGAUAUAUCAAAUUACAAAGGAUUAGUGGUAAAAAAAAAGUAGAAAAAUGCCAAAUAAGGCCUUAUAUAGCUCUCUAUUCAAUUAUUCUUAUAUAUUACUAAGUGUAAAGCUCCUACGCUUUUAAAAAAUAUAAGAGAGUAAGUAUUUUCGAUUUUUUUGUUCUUUGAUCAAGAAUUGUAUAAUCAGAAUGAUAAUGAUCUUUUUUAGGGUUAAAUAGAGUUGAGUAAUCCUCUUAGAAUAAUAAUAUUAUCCAAAGAUCAGAAAUGACCGGAAGGGUUGAUCGAAGUGCCAAAAAGUUUGAAAAUACUAACUCAAUUAUAAUUUCAAAAGCAUAUAUAUAGUAGCUCUACUCUAUUGUUAAUAUGCUAAUUAUUAUAAAAUGGACGUAUAUACACACUACGAUGUAUCAUGUGAAUUCAUUAACACAUUAACAGCAUAUAAAAGUAAUAAAACAAAGACACACGAUACCCCAAGUGAUGCCCUAAUUUUUUAAGAGUGCACAAAGAAAGAACCAAAUUAAUCAACUAAUUAUUAUUCCAAGAGAAUCCCUGACUAGCUCCUUGAGUGGAAGCCAAAACCAUCCAAUGACACAAGCACCAACAGGAACAACAACAGUGACUUAUUCCCCCUCCCCAUGUCCACAACUCCACAGUACAUCAUGUCCUUCUCCAUGGGGGCAGGUUCAAUAUAUUGUAGUAGUAGUAGUAGUAGUAGUAAUAGUUGUUGUUGUUGUUGUUGUUGUAGCUAUAUUUAUUCCAGCAGAGAAACCUAGAAGAGUCAUCAUGAUUCCAGUUCCUAAAUAAGGAGGGGGGAAAAGAAAACAGGAGAGUUUGGCAAGUUACAUGGUCCCUUUUUCUUUGUCCUCUUCUUCUUUAUCUUUCCCCUCCUACUAUCAUGUUUAUGAGAUCUCUCUCUCUCUCUCUCUCUUCUCUCUCUCUUUUUGUGGGUAGGUAUAUAUAUGGUACUAUUGAAACUGACUCCCAAAAAAAAAAAAAACAACAUUAAAGCAGCAAACAAGGACAGUAGGGGUCAUUCAAUGGUGGGGUGGGGUUUACAGUGAAAGGAGUUGUGAAAAGAUCAUCACUGUGGUAAUUUAAAGAGAGGAUGUAGAGAUACAGGGAAAGUUUGACAGGGUGGUGAAAAGAUUCUCUCACCAUUUCAGAGCCAAAAAAAGAAAGAAAAAAAGGGGGGAAAAAAAAGAAUAAGAGAGAGAAAACAAGAGCCAUAGAAUAGCAUGAGAAAUCAUGAGAAGAUCUUUUUAGAUAAGGAUAAGUGUUGAUGCUAGUCAAUUCUUUAAUUUUAAUCUCAACUAUUAUUCAUUGACUAUUUAAUUUUUAAAAUUUUAAUUUAACUAUCUAAUUUUUAAAAUUAUUCGAUUUGAGCCCAUUGGUAAUACUUUAACUUCAACUUUUAAAUGCAUCGUUAAUAUUUACAGAUUAAAUCUGUAUAUUUUAUACAAUUCACGUAAUUAUAAAUUCAGAAUUAAUUUAGAUUUUAUACCCGAAGAGUCAUCAAAUCAGUUAAAUCAAAUAAAUUGAAAAUUUAAAUUAUGACAUGACUCACACUAAUAUUAGAUAUAUAUAUAUAUAUAUAUAUAUAUAGCUCUCAAUACCAUAAUAUUUGAAAUACAUCUCAUUACAUACAAAUAUCUAAUAUAAUUACAUAGAAAGGGAUGGAGAAUUGAGCUCCUAUAUUUUUAAAAAUAUUUAAGCCAUUAGUGCUAUAGAUUUUUGGCUCUUGGAUUAAGUCAUUAGUGUUGGUAGUGGGGAAUAUGACUUGUUAGGCAUUUACAAGUUCAGCUCAAAUAAAGGACGCAUCAAAAUGUAAUGAAACUCUCUAUCAUGCAUUUAUGUUUUGUUCUACUUUUGGAAAAUAAAAAAAAAAAAUAGGUCGACCAUUUUUCCUGGUUUUUGGGUGAGGUCUCAGAAACGGCCUUCGAGGGCUCACGUGGGUGGCGUUGCAGGGUAAAAGGAAACGGCUUUUGGAAACAUCCCAACAAACUCUGCACCAAAUUUCGUUUGCUUCCUCGGAAACACGGGGGACUUGUGAUCCCUCCCGUGGGCGAUAUUUGAACUAAAAUGCGAUCACUUACUUACAGAAACAAACAAAAUAUUUUUCAUUGUGUUUUGUAUUUUCUCACGACACACAGCGCGUUGUUUUCACAACCCAGACGUAACAUCGGUUCAGUAUUGCACUGCUCGAUCAGAUGUGUCUGCGCGCUUUGAUACUUUAGAUUGUACGGUAUCGAUCAUACGAGUUCAUGAAGUAGCUGAAGCUUAGAACCGAUUUGCAAAAUAAAGUAACAACAACUUCUCGCUUGUGUAACAGUCUGAAUUAUUUAGAUAACUUUACUCAAACAGCACCAUUUUUAAAAGCUUUGGCUCUACCAAAAGGUAUUAAAGUUGUAUGGUAUAGUUAAAUUCUCCCUGAGCUUAUGGGGGAAGCGCCACCAACAACUUUGACCAAUUAAUGAAGAGAAUAUAUAUAUAUAUAUAUAUAUAUAUAUAUAUAUAUAUAUAUAUAUAUAUAUAUAUAUGAAUGUACGGGCCAAUAUUUAGCUCCAUGCGAAUAAUAUAGAUUACAUGAUGUGGAAUAUAUGCAAAAUCCAACUUGCCACUAAAGUGGAAACUGCUCGAGUGAAUCAAAAUCGAUAUUUUUGUUUUUUUUUUAUCAUUCCCAAAAGAACAAAUUGGUCAACAAGAUUAUGAUUCUUAAUUUCUUUUCUUUGCAUAAUUUUAUGAUGCUAAUCAAAAUAUGUUGCAUAAGUGAGACUGAUCGGUUACUGCAGACUUAUUUGGCAAGAUUUUGUUGAAGCAGCUUCUCUGCUCUGAAAAGUAAGCGAAUGCAUGUUUAAAAUAUCGAAUUGAAAGCCUAAUAUGAAAAUGAGCUUCUAAUAUGAAAACUAAUACGGGGAUCAACUUAAAUAUUCUGUUUCGAACAACUAUGUUCAAACAGUACUUUUUCAUAUGCUUUAAACUUGGUUCACUUUCAUGUUGACGAUCCUUUUACUAAAUAAGAUUCUCAGUGGCACACGCUAUUUACCUCCCAUGCAUGCACUUUUUAAGGACCCAAGGAGAGCCACGAAUUCGACAAAAAAAGAAGUCAUGAACACAAAUCCUAGAUCUACAUAACUAAGAUUCCUAGCUAGCAACACUACUGUUGAUUGGUUCACAAGGCACAAAUUAUGUAAAGUGCAGCAAUUGUUGACCUAAAAAGGUGUCCAAUUUGUAACGUAACCCUUGAGCUAAUGCAUAAGCCAAGUAGCAUAAAGCAAACAAAAGAACCAUACAUGGAACAAUGAGUAUCUCCAGUUUUAUUAUGCCCCCACUUUGACUGUCCCAAGUGUGGCAGGAAAGUUUGGCACAGCUCCUUUUUUGCUUUUGGAAAAAAAAAAAAAGAGAAAAUCAAAAAGGGAUCUUACUCUUUGGUCGAGAGAGUACUCGUGUUCACACUUACAAUUUCCUUAAGAACCUACCGUGAAAAAGAUGUCACAAUGUUGUAUUUUAUGAACACAGUACAAAGUAUUGUAUUUUAUAAACACGAAUCGAUAAAACAUAACAUUUUAUCGUCUUGUGAUUUGGAUGUAAAUGUAGAAAAACAAAGCUUAUGCGUGAUAGGAGAGCAAAAUUACUAUUUAUGAUGUGAGGAGAAGAUGCCAAGCUGAAAAUGUGUCAUAUCACUGGAGAGCUUUUUGGCGUUUACCCUCUUUUUUUUUUUCUCUUUUUAAGACUAGAUUAUACUUUUAGGAAGCAUUUGAUAUUUUGGAUCUUCUUAAGAUCAAAUUUGUUAUAAUGUUUUGCUGAAAAUUUUCAGUUAUAGUGAUCUAAGUUCUUCAAAGGACUAGCAUCAUAAGAAUGUGAUAGUACUAUGAUAAUAUUGACAUACUAAUAAAUAAUAUUUUAUAUUAUUGUCACAUAAGCAAUACAUUAUUCUCUAAUCAGCUAAUUAAAUUGUAAAAUAAAUUAUGUUGCAACAACCUAAACAGUUCAUCCAAAAACUAUAAUAAACCAAUAAUUUAAGGAUCAAAUUAAGACAUCGUAUUGCUCCCCAUUAUUCUUAGAACUAAAUUAAAUCUCUGCCACGCUCUAUAUAUAUAUAUAUAUAUAUAUAUAUAUAGAGAGAGAGAGAGAGAGAGAGAGAGAGAGAAAAAGUUGAGCUAGAAUAUUAUCGAUAGCAAACCGACUUUAUUGCCACCCAUUUGUUUUCAAUGAUGGGGCUUUUAAAUCGACAAUCGGUACCAUUGAAUAUGAUCUAUACCACUUGGAGUGUUUAGAAAUCAAAUUUCAUGUAUGUUCAAUAUUGUUCUUUUAUCCAUCAAGUGGACACAAAAAUAAACAACUGAAAAUAAAUAUUUUUUAAAAAAUGAUGAUAGAAAUCUUAUAAUCAAGAUCAAGAGUAUAGAUCUUGUUUUAAAUAGUUUAAACAAUUUUCUAACAAAAAUUUAUUUGAUUUGAAUAUUUUUACGCCAUUAAACGAGAAAAUGCCUCAUAUCGAUUAUUAAAAUUACAAAAUUUGAAACUCUUUGAUCAUUAGACAAAUAAUGUCUAAAAAUUUAAAACUUGAUUUCUAAAUACUUCAAGCGGUAUAGAUCAUGUUCAACAGUGUCGAUCGUCGAUUUGAAAUCUCUAUCAUAAAAAACAAAUGGAUAGCAAUCGAAUUCGUAUUCUAGGUCAACUAUAUAUAUAUAUAUAUAUAUAUAGUCCGGAUACUAUGCUAUUGGUAGCACGGAGCGCUCCGUGCUACCAAGUUGUUUUCGAUGAUGCAGCUUCCAAAUCGACGAUCGGCUCCGUUAGACUUGAUCCACACUAUUGAAAGUAUUUGGAAACUAAAUUUCAGAUUUUUUCGACAUCAUUUGACUAGUGAUCAAAAGAUCUCAAAAUUAACAAUUUUAAUGGCCAAUGUGGUGUGUUUGUGAGUUUAACGGUAUAAAACAAUCCAAAUGCGAUGAAAAUUUUAUAGAAAAUUCUUUUCACUAUUUAGAGUAAGAUCAGUAUAUCUGAUCUUGAAUUUAAAUCUUUUAUCAUGCAUCGAAAAUUUUUUAUUUCAGCCCGUUCAAUUUUAGACUACUUAUUUGAUAGGUAAAUGAUAUCGAAAA
RNAcentral lists this long non-coding RNA (7229 nucleotides) under Ananas comosus (pineapple). RNAcentral describes it as "long non-coding RNA (ACOM_LNC007714)". The record is from RNAcentral. Lineage: Eukaryota; Viridiplantae; Streptophyta; Magnoliopsida; Poales; Bromeliaceae.